AUGGGAUCCUGUUGGUGGGUUAC
This 23-nucleotide microRNA is filed under the name Medicago truncatula (barrel medic). RNAcentral's name for it is "mtr-miR5206a". Lineage: Eukaryota; Viridiplantae; Streptophyta; Magnoliopsida; Fabales; Fabaceae. The record is from miRBase by way of RNAcentral.